RNAcentral lists this ribosomal RNA (461 nucleotides) under uncultured Desulfobulbus sp. RNAcentral describes it as "bacterial SSU rRNA". It matches the Rfam family "Bacterial small subunit ribosomal RNA", at positions 929 to 1382 of the family's 1533-position model. Lineage: Bacteria; Pseudomonadati; Thermodesulfobacteriota; Desulfobulbia; Desulfobulbales; Desulfobulbaceae. The record is from RNAcentral.
GCGGUGGAGUAUGUGGUUUAAUUCGAUGCAACGCGAAGAACCUUACCUGGUCUUGACAUCCCAGAAAUCCCUUGGAAACUUGGGAGUGCUUCCAUUAGGAAGAAUCUGGAGACAGGUGCUGCAUGGAACUGUCGUCAGCUCGUGUCGUGAGAUGUUGGGUUAAGUCCCGCAACGAGCGCAACCCUUGCCUUUAGUUGCCAGCAGUUCGGCUGGGCACUCUAAAGGGACUGCCGGUGUUAAACCGGAGGAAGGUGGGGAUGACGUCAAGUCCUCAUGGCCUUUAUGACCAGGGCUACACACGUACUACAAUGGCCGAUACAAAGGGCAGCGACAUCGCGAGGUGAAGCCAAUCCCAUAAAAUCGGUCUCAGUCCGGAUUGGAGUCUGCAACUCGACUCCAUGAAGUUGGAAUCGCUAGUAAUCGUGGAUCAGCAUGCCACGGUGAAUACGUUCCCGGGCCUU